AAGGAGGAUAAUUCCACUGUCAAAACUGAAUGUCCAACCCCUCUUUCUCGUGCAAUGCUACCUUUGAAGGAGAUUUGCACCAUUAGAGCUGUACCUCCUCCACCUCCUCCAACACCACCUUUGGAGAAUAGCACUGUUGAAGUUGGAUCUCCUCCACCUCCAACACCUCCUGUGUCGGAGAAUAGCAUUGUUAGAGCUGGACCUCCUCCACCUCCUCUAAUGCCACCUUUGAAGGAGAAUAACACUGUUGGAGCUGGACCUCCUCCACCUCCUCCAACGCCACCUUUGAAGGAGAAUAAAACCAUUGGAGCUGGAACUCUUCCACCUCCACCACCUCUUCCGCCUUUGAAGGAGAAUGGCACCAUUGGAGCUGGAGCUUUUCCUCCACCUCCACCUCCACCUCCACAUUUGAAGGAGAAUCAUGCUAUUGGAGCUGGACCUCAUCCACCUCCACCUCCUCCCCCUCCUCUUCAUUUAGGACCAACUACCGGGCCAAUAGUUUCAUCUCGGAUGCCACUAGCGCCGCCGCUACCUCCUACUAUGUCAACCAAUUCCUCCCGUGUUCCUUCU
RNAcentral lists this long non-coding RNA (570 nucleotides) under Populus trichocarpa (black cottonwood). RNAcentral describes it as "long non-coding RNA (PTRI_LNC001838)". Lineage: Eukaryota; Viridiplantae; Streptophyta; Magnoliopsida; Malpighiales; Salicaceae. The record is from RNAcentral.